RNAcentral lists this ribosomal RNA (479 nucleotides) under Glugea anomala. Its description in RNAcentral is "LSU rRNA". It matches the Rfam family "Archaeal large subunit ribosomal RNA", at positions 1 to 665 of the family's 2987-position model. Lineage: Eukaryota; Fungi; Microsporidia; Glugeidae. The record is from RNAcentral.
CCCUGUACGCAAGGGUACAUCUCUAGGCUCGCAUGACGAGAAGGGCGCAGUUGUAGGCGAAAUGUGUCAGGGCAGCAGCAAUGACGACACGUGCCUGAACAAGCGAAAGCUCGGAUACCCCCUUGAAUUAAGCAUAUGAGUAAAGGGAGGAAAAGAAACUAACAAGGAUUCCUGCAGUAGCGGCGAGCGAAGAAGGACCAGCCCCGUGUGUAAUCGUUCUUUCGAGAACGAGAUGUCAUGGACGCGAUGUAACGAUCUGGAAAGAUCGGCCUGAGAGGGUGAUAGCCCCGUACAGCGUGAAUGGAUGAGUAGUAGUGUUUGGUAUUACACUAUGAACAGGUGGCAGCGCCCAUCUAAGGCUAAAUACUAUGCGAGACCGAUAGCGAAUAAAAUAAGUAGAGUGAUCGAAGGAUGAAUAGGCUGAAAAAGUGAAAUUGCGCAGAGAGCUGAGCGGCUCAGUCCGUCUUGAAACACGGACC